Molecule: ribosomal RNA, 703 nt
Filed under: uncultured Planctomycetota bacterium
Lineage: Bacteria; Pseudomonadati; Planctomycetota
Description: bacterial SSU rRNA
Rfam family: Bacterial small subunit ribosomal RNA
Source: RNAcentral
GUCGAGCGAGAACCCCGCAAGGGGGGACAGCGGCAAACGGGGUAGUAACGGGUAGGCGACGUACCCUCGGGUCGGGGAUAGCCACGGGAAACUGUGGGUAAUACCCGAUAACCUCCGGAGGCGUGAUAGCUUCCGGAGCAAAGGUGUGAUUCCACCGGAGGAGCGGCCUGCCUCGUAUUAGCUGGUUGGUGAGGUAACGGCUCACCAAGGCGACGAUGCGUAGGGGGUGUGAGAGCAUGACCCCCACCACUGGGACUGAGAUACUGCCCAGACACCUACGGGUGGCUGCAGUCGAGAAUCUUCGGCAAUGGGCGCAAGCCUGACCGAGCGACGCCGCGUGUGGGAUGAAGGCCCUUGGGUUGUAAACCACUGUCAGAGGGGAUGAAGUGCCAGAGAGCUAUCUCUCUGGUUUGACAUAGCCUCAGAGGAAGCACGGGCUAAGUUCGUGCCAGCAGCCGCGGUAAUACGAACUGUGCGAACGUUAUUCGGAAUCACUGGGCUUACAGGGUGCGUAGGCGGCCUGUUAAGUAGGGUGUGAAAGCCCCCGGCUCAACCGGGGAAUUGCGCCCUAAACUGGCGGGCUGGAGUGAGAUAGGGGUGUGUGGAACUUCCGGUGGAGCGGUGAAAUGUGUUGAUAUCGGAAGGAACGCCGGUGGCGAAAGCGACACACUGGAUCUUGUCUGACGCUGAGGCACGAAAGCCA